RNAcentral lists this long non-coding RNA (2366 nucleotides) under Rattus norvegicus (Norway rat). RNAcentral's name for it is "long non-coding RNA NONRATT002169". Lineage: Eukaryota; Metazoa; Chordata; Mammalia; Rodentia; Muridae. The record is from RNAcentral.
CUAUAAACUUUAAUUAAGGUUAUAUACAAUAAUUAUAAUUUUCUUUGUGACAGUUGUAUACUAAGACUGCUGUUUGAUCAAGGGAGAGGAAGAGGGUGAUUUAUUUGAAGAGAUUUUGUUUUUAAUAUUUCCUGUAUCCAAACAAUGACAAAGAAAGAUUCAAAAGACCAAAUGAGCAGAGUUAAGAGAGUGUCACAAAGUUUGCAAAGACUUGUUCUCACCCAGUGUCCCUGUCCCUUAUAAGCCAUCUCUAGUCGGGCUGGCCUCUCUAAACAGGCUACAGAAGAUAAAUUACAAUUUUUAAAUUGUAUAUUUAAAUUCUAGCAAUAUACAGAUUGAUUCUGACUUUGCUUAUACUGAUUUUUCUCUUUCUUCUGGACAACAAAGCUCGAUGACCUCACACAAGACCUGACUGUUUCCCAGCUCAGUGAUGUUGCUGACUAUCUGGAAGAUGUUGCAUAGACAGGAAAAGGAAGUAUUCUGAUCAACAGAGGACGAACGACUCAUUGGCUCCAUUUUCCUCAGUCACUUUUGCUGGAAUGUCCGCUCCUGCUGGUGCCUUGCAUUUCAAAAAGACUGCAGAUAUUUUUCAAAGUUAACUUUUCAGUUUGGUAAACAAAUACUUCCUAUAUGAGCGCACGUCUAGGAGAUUUAACGUUCUUACCUUGGUUUAGCUGCACAUCUCCAAGGACGUCAUCUAUGGUCAGGCUCAUUACAGCAAGGGAGCCCUGAGCAUCAGUGUUAAAGAGCAGAGAGAGGCUCAGGACAGCCAUGCUUUGUGCACUGUGUGACUGUGGCUGCUCCAGGGUUCUCUGAAGCCUUAGCAUUAGCUAUGGAGAGCUCACCCACUUAGUAUCAGGCGGGUUAGCCCAGAGUUGGUGAGCUGACCUAUAAAUCCAUGAUGCUAAAGAGUAUCAGUACAAGUUAAAUCGGGUUUAUAAACUUUAUUUUGUAUCUCCUUCCAUUUGGAAGGUUUGUUAGACCAUUAAGGUUAUAUUAAAGUACUCUGUACUUAGUUUUGCUUGUUUUAAACUAGAAAUUGUUAGUACUCUUAAUUCAUAGACUUGUCAAUAACAGUUACCAGUUAAGGUCACAUUCUUCUUGCUGUCUAUUAAGCAGCUGUAGUCACAGAUUACUUCAUUACAGUCUUAAUUUAUUAUUUCUAAAAAUGCCUUGAAACAUUCAAUACCAAAAUGCAUCUGAAACCAUUAAGCUGUGCUUUCAUUUCAGAUCUGUAAGUUCAUUAUAUUUAAAUCCAAAUUGGAGUGAAACAGUAGUAAUGGCCUAAGACCAUGUAUAUUCAGUUUGACAAACUUUGUAUACUGUACAUAAUUGCAUUGUAGUCCUUUAAAAAUAAGGCCAAUAAUAGAAUUUUUGGCAGAUUUAAUUUAAAUCUGUAUGUAGUGCUAUAGGGAUAUAGGCCAUUGGCAUCAAUAAUGCUGAAUUAUUUACAAUGUGCAAAUAGAAACUCAGUCCAAUACAUGCACAGUCAUACCACUUAAAAUUGGGAAUGUAUGAAAUUAGAUGUAUUUUAUUUCAAUUAUGACUAUUAAAAGCUACCUUUAUUACUAAAAAGAGAAAUUGGAAACCAUUGAUCCGUGUUGAGUGAGUGAGCAGGCGCUGUGGUUUGUGUCAGCGCCACUUUCCACUCCAUAGUUGCCUAAGCACAGUGACAUUCUUCAGGCUGUGAGUGCAGAGGAAAUGAAAACGUAGUAAAGGUUCAGGCUCUCUGACAUAGAGUCUGGCUUUUUCACCUAAGUGAAACUGAGCUGUAAUCAAGAGGAAGUAGGACAGAAACAGCAGGCGGCCUGGAAAGCCCUGGAGUGCUUGUUCUCAGUCUGCCCCAACAUGGCGCUGCCUGCUCUUCGUGCUUUACUCUUAGGAAACAGGAUGAAGACGCUGUCUGCUGUUAGAAACUGCACUGCCCUGUGUCAUCUCUUCAGCAAUGGGAUGCCCUGGGGCCACUGAGCCUCUGCAGUCUGGAUUGAAUGUGUGGUUUAAUAUUUGGUGGGCACUGCAGUUAGUGAACUGACCUGCAAGCAUGGCAGGAUGUGGCUUUUUACAUUUGAGGAAGACUUUCCAACAGUCAAAUGUGAAAUUCGUCACUUUCUAUUACCCAGUGACUGACCUUUUGGUAAGUCUUGAGAGGAUGGAAAGAAAAAGCCAAACUGCAACUUUGUGGUCACCACUCCAUGCAGGUAUUGAAUACUUGUAAAAAAUGUGAAAUUCAACAGGGAAGAAGUGGUUUCUACAGUAUUCCUUGCUUAGUCAUUGUUGACCUGUUAAACCUUAGUGUGUGAAAUGACAGGGUCUGCAUGUAAAAAAUGUCUCUUUGAAAAGUGAAUUACAGUGUUGGCUGGCAGUGA